RNAcentral lists this ribosomal RNA (498 nucleotides) under Triticum aestivum (bread wheat). RNAcentral describes it as "partial small subunit ribosomal RNA". The record is from RNAcentral. Lineage: Eukaryota; Viridiplantae; Streptophyta; Magnoliopsida; Poales; Poaceae.
AUGCUUCAGCCCGUGGAUGGAUUGAUUAAUGCAAGUAACCAGGAGAGAAGGGGCGUUAGCUGGGGCUAUCCAUGUCGGGUCGCUCAUGAGGAGAAGACGAAGGGAAGAGCAGCAAGGAAGCUUCAUCCUGCUCCCAAACCAAGGAAGCCACGCCCACACCAACACAUACAAACAUUUUUCCUCCCCACCCAUGCAACCUGCUCGUCUCUCGCUCAACGAGGACCGUGGUUGCCACUUGUCACGCCACUGUUUCCUAGCACCCUCAACGACCAGGGAAGCAGCCGGGUGGAGACAGGGGCAUUCUCCUUUUUAUCCGCAGCUUCCGCCUCCUGCAUUAUAGGUGCUGCUGUCGACGCUGCUCCUUCUCUUCCCCUCAGGAGGUAUGGAGAAAUGGUGAUACUGUUUGCAUAUCAAAUUGGUACUCAACUAGACAAACCCGAGGUCCAAAAAAGUGAACGCCAUAAAUCAAAAGCCAUCCAAUGGACAAGCAGCUCAUGA